AUGCGAUAAGUAAUGUGAAUUGCAGAAUUCCGUGAAUCAUCGAGUCUUUGAACGCACAUUGCGCUCCCUGGUAUUCCGGGGAGCAUGCCUGUCCGAGCGUCAUUUUCAACCCUCAAGCUUGGCUUGUGUGAUGGGCCAUCGUCCCCACGACCUUCCGGGACGGGACGGGCCCGAAAUGCAGUGGUGGUGUCUAGGUAAACGACCCGAGCGUAUGGGGCUCUGUCACAGUGCUCGCGGUGUACCUUUUGACGUCUACCCGACCGCCUCGGUAGUGGUGGUUAACCUUUUAUUCUAAGGUUGACCUCGGAUCAGGUAGGGAUACCCGCUGAACUUAA
This 335-nucleotide unclassified non-coding RNA is filed under the name uncultured Ascomycota. Its description in RNAcentral is "partial contains 5.8S ribosomal RNA, internal transcribed spacer 2, and large subunit ribosomal RNA". The stretch from base 1 to 102 matches the Rfam family "5.8S ribosomal RNA", at positions 53 to 154 of the family's 154-position model. The record is from RNAcentral. Lineage: Eukaryota; Fungi; Ascomycota.